GUUCCGUAGGUGAACCUGCGGAAGGAUCAUUAUUGUAAAGCCGGGGUGCGAGGGCUGUCGCUGACCCGAAAGAUCGUGCACGCCCGAGUGCCGUCACACACGCCCAUCUCAGCCCUAUGUGCACCACCGCGUGGGUCCCGCUUUGGAGUGAUCGGAGGGGGGCUUACGUUUUCACACAAACUUUGUAUGCAGUGUAGAAUGUAUUUUUUGUUUUUGCGAUCGUGCAAUAAAUAUAACUUUCAACAACGGAUCUCUUGGCUCUG
RNAcentral lists this unclassified non-coding RNA (263 nucleotides) under plant metagenome. Its description in RNAcentral is "partial contains small subunit ribosomal RNA, internal transcribed spacer 1, and 5.8S ribosomal RNA". The record is from RNAcentral.